RNAcentral lists this ribosomal RNA (466 nucleotides) under uncultured bacterium. RNAcentral describes it as "partial 16S ribosomal RNA". It matches the Rfam family "Bacterial small subunit ribosomal RNA", at positions 28 to 507 of the family's 1533-position model. The record is from RNAcentral.
GACGAACGCUGGCGGCGUGCUUAACACAUGCAAGUCGAACGGAAAGGCCCAGCUUGCUGGGUACUCGAGUGGCGAACGGGUGAGUAACACGUGGGUGAUCUGCCCUGGACUCUGGGAUAAGCCUGGGAAACUGGGUCUAAUACCGGAUAUGACCUUACAUCGCAUGGUGUUUGGUGGAAAGCUUUUGCGGUUCAGGAUGGACCCGCGGCCUAUCAGCUUGUUGGUGGGGUAAUGGCCUACCAAGGCGACGACGGGUAGCCGACCUGAGAGGGUGAUCGGCCACACUGGGACUGAGACACGGCCCAGACUCCUACGGGAGGCAGCAGUGGGGAAUAUUGCACAAUGGGCGCAAGCCUGAUGCAGCGACGCCGCGUGAGGGAUGACGGCCUUCGGGUUGUAAACCUCUUUCACCAGGGACGAAGCGUGAGUGACGGUACCUGGAGAAGAAGCACCGGCCAACUACGUG